AUGUGGGAUCUCAAUGACUCGCCGGCGGCCGACGCGCCGCCGCUGUCCCCGUCCGUCGACGACUCCGGCGCCUCCUCCUCGUCGGCCGCCGCGGUGGUCGAGAUACCCGACGACGCCGACGACGACUCCGCCGAGGCCGUCGUCACGCGCCAGUUCUUCCCCCCGGCCGCCCCGGGCGAGGGCGCCGCCGGGAACGGCCGCGCGGCGUGGCUCCGCCUGGCCGGCGCCCCCGCGCCCGCCGUGGCCGCCGCAGCAGCCGCGGCCGCCGGAGGAGGAGUCGGAGGCCCCGCGGCGUCGGCGGCGGCCAAGAAGAGCCGGCGCGGGCCGCGGUCGCGCAGCUCGCAGUACCGCGGCGUCACCUUCUACCGCCGGACGGGGCGGUGGGAGUCGCACAUAUGGGAUUGCGGCAAGCAGGUCUAUCUGGGUGGAUUCGACACUGCUCAUGCGGCGGCUCGGGCGUACGAUCGGGCGGCGAUCAAGUUCCGCGGCAUGGAGGCCGACAUCAACUUCAGCCUGGAGGAUUACGACGACAUCAAGCAGAUGGGCAACCUGACCAAGGAGGAGUUCGUCCACGUGCUCCGGCGCCAGAGCACGGGGUUCCCCCGGGGCAGCUCCAAGUACAGGGGCGUCACCCUCCACAAGUGCGGCAGGUGGGAGGCGCGGAUGGGCCAGUUCCUCGGCAAGAAGUACGUCUACUUGGGGCUGUUCGACACCGAGGAGGAAGCCGCCAGGUCGUACGACCGCGCUGCCAUCAAGUGCAACGGCAAGGAUGCGGUGACAAACUUCGAUCCCAGCACCUACGCCGAGGAGUUCGAGCCCGCGGCUUCGACCGGCGACGCGGAGCAGAACCUGGACCUGUCGCUGGGGAGCUCGGGGGGCUCCAACAAGAGGGGCAGCCUCGACGGCGGCGGAGGCGGCGACGACGACGGCGCGGCCGGGUCCGACCAGCGCGUCCCCAUGGCCUUCGAGCUCGACUGGCAGACGGCGGCGGCGGCGGCGGCGGCACGGAGCACCAAGGCCAAGUUCGACCAGAACUUGACGCAUCACCAGAUGCCCCCUCCGGCCCUGCAAGCCUCCCACAUGCCCUUCAGUCCCAGGCACCACCAAUUCAUGGGCAACGGCGAUCCGGGGACCGCGGGAGGCCUGUCGCUGACGGUCGGCGCCGCCGGCGGGGGCGGGCACUGGCCUCCGCCUCUGCACCACCAAUACCAGCCGCCGCCGCCGCCUCCGCAGCAGCAGCAGCCGCAGCAGAGGCUGCACGGCUGGGGCAACGUCGUCCCCGGCACGAGCUGGCAGCCGCCUCAGCCGCCGCCGCACCACCAGGCGGGGCCGCCGCCGAACAACGCUGCCGCCGCCGCCGCAGCAGCUGCAGCAUCAUCACGAUUCCCACCCUACAUCGCCGCGCAGGCGCAGAGCUGGCUCCAGAAGAACGGCUUCCACUCCCUGGCCCGACCCACCUAG
This 1461-nucleotide ribosomal RNA is filed under the name Triticum aestivum (bread wheat). RNAcentral's name for it is "partial small subunit ribosomal RNA". Lineage: Eukaryota; Viridiplantae; Streptophyta; Magnoliopsida; Poales; Poaceae. The record is from RNAcentral.